ACUUCGGGCUUCCUCCCACAUUAAACUGACACGCCUUGAUAUAACUGGAAUACUGUUAAAAGCGGCGUUAAACCCUACCCACUCACUCACACAAGUAUUACAGCAAGAAUCACCAUACGACCACAAAUAUAUCCCAAAUUAUGAUCCAAAGGGACUUAUUUCACACAAUUUACUCCUCCUAUAACAUGUUUCGUAUAAGACAUAAACAUUACAUUACAUGACGUAAAUAUAUCUCUGUGGUCCUCGAACACCUCCUUUGAAACACGUACACCAGCUUCCUUCCUACUCGGUUAUGCUCACUACUGCAUAUAUCAUCUACUGUACAGCCACUGACAUGUAUGUAUGGCAUCUGGCUUGCAUGAAACGGAUCUUAAUAUAUAGGUAAUGUCGACAUCUAUAUAUUUGAGAAUGUAUUUUAUUUAAUGUCCGUGUGUGCAUCGGGGUAGCCUAGUGGUUAAAACAUUCGCUUGUCACUCCGAGCAUCCAGGUUCGAUUCUCCACUUGGGUACAAAAACACGCCUGUUUCGCGUCGGGGUGUAGCUAAUCAUUAAAGCUGCAUACAAUCUAAUCAGUUAUGUUUGUAAAUUAUUAUUAAUGUCACACAUGCCUUAGUCAAACCAUUCUACAGUUCUGAAAAUAAAGAUAUGUAAGUAGCGUUACCUCUGAUAUAUGUUUCGCAGUGCCACUAAUGGUUUUCCUGGUCAGUGUCUGUUUUAUCAUGUCUCAACAGAAUCUUUUGAAACCUGGCGUAUUUUAACAUUAUUUUUCAUGUUUUGUAUAUAAUUAGUAUCACCAUCAAAUGCGACCCCAUAAGGUAAUACUAAUUGUGAACUAUUGGUACCAAUGUUUUCUAACAUUCCGAGAUAUACGAUGGAAAUCGUUGAAUGGUGUAUAUUUAUGAUAUUCUUCUACCUACUUGGAAAGAUAGAUACAAUAGACUAUUUCACCUUAAACAAUUAAUUACAUAUGUUUAAGAUGGAUAAAUUUAAAUCUGUCACUCCAUUUAUCGAAACUACAUGUACAUGCCUGCUCGUUUCCAUGGUGAUGUUGAGAUGUACUUUCCUAACAGCAUGAAGUGUACACAAUCAUGGUUGCCGUUGUCAUGGUGAUUAUGUCUAUAAACCACACUACUGCACAUGUGUAAGUGCUCGUUUCCCUAUGACAGACACUAUUGCACAGAUGAGAGUUACUUCAUGUUAUUGUAAUGGUGAAUGUCACAUUCGUUCUGUAGUGGUGAAUGUCACGUGUAUGUAAUUUAUAAGGUAUGCUGUGUUAUAAGAAAAGAGCUUCCAUUUCAGUUUUCAUUUCAGUUAAAAACAACUGAUUAAUUGUAACAUGAUAUUAUUAUCAAGUGUUAAUGUGCUUAAUAACACAUGAAAUCAUCUUUAAAUAAUUAAAUUAAUUUUUUUUCGCUGAUCAUUCCUUUUCUGUUCACACAUUACUAUUUAAUUGUACAUGCACACAACUAUUUACUAAAUACGAUCAACUUUAUAAGAAUAUAUUUUUAUUUAGUGAGUAUAUGUUAUAUUAUAUUUAAUCUGUAUAUUAACGCCACAUAAAUAUGUGUAACUAAACAUAUAGAAUCAUAUUUAGACUAACAAAUAUUUGUUCUUCCUUUUUUUCAUAUGGAUGGGACAGAUCGACCUUUUUGGUGGGACAUGCUACAACUGUGGAAGGAUGGACUACCAACACGGGUGUAAGACUGGAAAACACGUGUCGUGAAACAGGAACAUCGUAUGUUAUCCUGCCAGAUGUCCCUCAACUACCUUGCAAAGCACAAGUCUCAUAAAACCGGAAACCUCACAUUCCGAACCACAGUCAUGCCAACGUAUUGAAAGUCUGACACAGUUGUAUUUAUUGAGGACAUUCGUAAAUAUGGGUGUCCGCACUGCAGAGGUCCCACUAUGAUAUUCUGUAUAAUAGUCAAAGGAUAAUCUGGGCAAGUGGCAUGCUGGUCACAGUCAGGACGCUUUCUACACGCAUUGUUGGACAGGACAUAACUGCAUCGUGUUUACCUGACUAGGAAUCAGGAUUUUGUCAAAUAAUGGUCAUUGAUUUGACAUUACGUGUGACGUUCAUUCUUGAUUUUGUUGAUGAAAAUACGAACUUUGUCAAUCUUUUCUAACAUAAAGAAUAUGUUUGUACUGCAUUUUGUUAUUGUGCACAGUGAAUGCUGCGCUAUACAAAUGCAUAUAUUAUUAUUAUUGUAUAUCGUACAGCGUAUUUGGGCACUAAUAAAUGAUAAUUUAUGUUAUA
Haliotis rufescens (red abalone) is the source of this 2256-nucleotide long non-coding RNA. RefSeq lists it as uncharacterized. The record is from RefSeq and is a predicted model, not a curated record. The transcript is spliced from 5 exons. Lineage: Eukaryota; Metazoa; Mollusca; Gastropoda; Lepetellida; Haliotidae.